This 292-nucleotide ribosomal RNA is filed under the name uncultured bacterium. RNAcentral's name for it is "partial 16S ribosomal RNA". It matches the Rfam family "Bacterial small subunit ribosomal RNA", at positions 505 to 796 of the family's 1533-position model. The record is from RNAcentral.
GUGCCAGCAGCCGCGGUAAGACGUAGGGUGCAAGCGUUGUCCGGAUUUACUGGGCGUAAAGAGCGCGUAGGCGGUCUGUUAAGUGUAGAGUCAAAUCUCCGAGCUCAACUCGGAAACUGCUCUGCAUACUGGCAGACUGGAGGAAUGCAGAGGUUUGUGGAAUUCCUGGUGUAACGGUGAAAUGUGUUGAUAUCAGGAGGAACACCCAUGGCGAAGGCAGCAAACUGGGCAUUAUCUGACGCUGAGGCGCGAAAGCGUGGGGAGCAAACAGGAUUAGAUACCCUAGUAGUCC